RNAcentral lists this ribosomal RNA (253 nucleotides) under uncultured bacterium. Its description in RNAcentral is "partial 16S ribosomal RNA". It matches the Rfam family "Bacterial small subunit ribosomal RNA", at positions 524 to 776 of the family's 1533-position model. The record is from RNAcentral.
UACAGAGGGUGCUAGCGUUGUUCGGAAUCAUUGGGCGUAAAGGGCGUGUAGGCGGUUUGUUAAGUCAUGUGUGAAAGCCCCCGGCUCAACCGGGGAACGACGCAUGAAACUGGCAAGCUAGAGUACCGAAGAGGGGGGUGGAGUUCCCGGUGUAGCGGUGAAAUGCGUAGAUAUCGGGAGGAACACCUGUGGCGAAGGCGGCCCCCUGGUCGGAUACUGACGCUGAGACGCGAAAGCGUGGGGAGCAAACAGG